CGCUCAUCCAGAGGGGCAGAGGGAUACGGCCCGUUGAAGCCCCGGCAACCCUCCAGCCGGUCCUGCCGCGCAAGCGGCGGCUCGCCUCCGUGCACCGCACGGGACCGAGGCCACCGGCUCGGGAAGGUGCCAAUUCCGUCUCGUGGCGAAACGCGUCGCGAGGAAGAUGAGGA
This 173-nucleotide non-coding RNA is filed under the name Streptomyces albus. RNAcentral describes it as "SAM-I sequence". It matches the Rfam family "SAM riboswitch aptamer (S box leader)". Rfam says of the family: The SAM riboswitch is found upstream of a number of genes which code for proteins involved in methionine or cysteine biosynthesis in Gram-positive bacteria. The SAM riboswitch acts at the level of transcription termination control. RNAcentral also lists the same sequence under 1 other name. The record is from RNAcentral. Lineage: Bacteria; Bacillati; Actinomycetota; Actinomycetes; Kitasatosporales; Streptomycetaceae.